RNAcentral lists this ribosomal RNA (253 nucleotides) under uncultured bacterium. RNAcentral's name for it is "partial 16S ribosomal RNA". It matches the Rfam family "Bacterial small subunit ribosomal RNA", at positions 524 to 776 of the family's 1533-position model. The record is from RNAcentral.
UACGUAGGCAGCAAGCGUUGUUCGGAGUUACUGGGCGUAAAGGGUGUGUAGGCGGUUUUUUAAGUUUGGUGUGAAGUCUCCCGGCUCAACUGGGAGGGUGCGCCGAAUACUGAAUGACUAGAGUGCGGGAGAGGAGAGUGGAAUUCCUGGUGUAGCGGUGAAAUGCGUAGAUAUCAGGAGGAACACCGGUGGUGUAGACGGCUCUCUGGACCGUAACUGACGCUGAGGCACGAAAGCGUGGGUAGCAAACAGG